This 700-nucleotide ribosomal RNA is filed under the name uncultured bacterium. RNAcentral's name for it is "bacterial SSU rRNA". It matches the Rfam family "Bacterial small subunit ribosomal RNA", at positions 9 to 714 of the family's 1533-position model. The record is from RNAcentral.
GAGUUUGAUCAUGGCUCAGGAUGAACGCUAGCGGCAGGCUUAACACAUGCAAGUCGAGGGGUAUUCUAGCAAUAGGAGAGACCGGCGCACGGGUGCGUAACGCGUAUGCAAUCUACCUUUCACAGAGGGAUAGCCCAGAGAAAUUUGGAUUAAUACCUCAUAGUAUUAUGGAAUGGCAUCAUUUUAUAAUUAAAGUCACAACGGUGAAAGAUGAGCAUGCGUCCCAUUAGCUAGUUGGUAAGGUAACGGCUUACCAAGGCGACGAUGGGUAGGGGUCCUGAGAGGGAGAUCCCCCACACUGGUACUGAGACACGGACCAGACUCCUACGGGAGGCAGCAGUGAGGAAUAUUGGACAAUGGGCGCAAGCCUGAUCCAGCCAUGCCGCGUGCAGGAUGACGGUCCUAUGGAUUGUAAACUGCUUUUGCACAGGAAGAAACACCCCCUCGUGAGGGGGCUUGACGGUACUGUGAGAAUAAGGAUCGGCUAACUCCGUGCCAGCAGCCGCGGUAAUACGGAGGAUCCAAGCGUUAUCCGGAAUCAUUGGGUUUAAAGGGUCCGUAGGCGGUUUAGUAAGUCAGUGGUGAAAGCCCAUCGCUCAACGGUGGAACGGCCAUUGAUACUGCUAGACUUGAAUUAUUAGGAAGUAACUAGAAUAUGUAGUGUAGCGGUGAAUGCUUAGAGAUACAUGGAAUACCAUUG